UACGUAGGUGGCGAGCGUUGUCCGGAUUUACUGGGCGUAAAGAGCGCGCAGGCGGUCGUACAAGUCGCGUGUGAAAGCCCCCCGGCUCAACUGGGGAGGGUCACGCGAUACUGUUCGACUCGAAGGCAGGAGAGGGAAGCGGAAUUCCCGGUGUAGUGGUGAAAUGCGUAGAUAUCGGGAGGAACACCAGUGGCGAAGGCGGCUUCCUGGCCUGUUCUUGACGCUGAGGCGCGAAAAGCUGAGGGU
RNAcentral lists this ribosomal RNA (246 nucleotides) under uncultured bacterium. Its description in RNAcentral is "partial 16S ribosomal RNA". It matches the Rfam family "Bacterial small subunit ribosomal RNA", at positions 524 to 768 of the family's 1533-position model. The record is from RNAcentral.